Non-coding RNA from Podarcis lilfordi (Lilford's wall lizard), 76 nucleotides. Lineage: Eukaryota; Metazoa; Chordata; Lepidosauria; Squamata; Lacertidae. The record is from the annotation of a GenBank genome assembly.
GGGUUAGCUUAGUCGGUAGAGCAUGAGGCUCUUAAUCUCAGGGUCGUGGGUCUGGGCAAAAGAUUCCUGCAUUGCA